Molecule: ribosomal RNA, 465 nt
Filed under: uncultured bacterium
Lineage: Bacteria
Description: partial 16S ribosomal RNA
Rfam family: Bacterial small subunit ribosomal RNA
Source: RNAcentral
GACGAACGCUGGCGGCGUGCUUAACACAUGCAAGUCGAACGGAAAGGCCCCUUUGGGGGUACUCGAGUGGCGAACGGGUGAGUAACACGUGAGUAACCUGCCCUUGACUUCGGGAUAACUUCAGGAAACUGGGGCUAAUACCGGAUAGGAAUCCUUGCUGCAUGGUGGGGGUUGGAAAGCUUCGGCGGUUUUGGAUGGACUCGCGGCUUAUCAGCGUGUUGGUGGGGUAGUGGCUUACCAAGGCUUUGACGGGUAGCCGGCCUGAGAGGGCGACCGGCCACAUUGGGACUGAGAUACGGCCCCGACUCCUACGGGUGGCAGCAGUGGGGAAUAUUGCACAAUGGGCGGAAGCCGGAUGCAGCAACGCCGCGUGCGGGAUGACGGCCUUCGGGUUGUAAACCGCUUUCAGCAGGGGCGAAGCUUGUGGUGACGGUACCUGCAGAAGAAGCACCGGCUAACUACGUG